RNAcentral lists this unclassified non-coding RNA (406 nucleotides) under soil metagenome. RNAcentral describes it as "partial contains 5.8S ribosomal RNA, internal transcribed spacer 2, and large subunit ribosomal RNA". The stretch from base 1 to 121 matches the Rfam family "5.8S ribosomal RNA", at positions 35 to 154 of the family's 154-position model. The record is from RNAcentral.
GAUGAAGAACGUAGCGAAAUGCGAUAAGUAAUGUGAAUUGCAAAAUUCAGUGAAUCAUCGAAUCUUUGAACGCACCUUGCGCCCUUUGGCCAUUCCGAAGGGCAUGCCUGUUUGAGUAUCAUGAACACCUCAACUCUUCAUGGUUUUCCGUGAUGAGCUUGGACUUUGGGGGUCUUGCUGGCCUAUGGUCAGCUCCUCUAAAAUAAAUCAGCUUGCCAGUGUUUGGUGGGUAUCACAGGUGUGAUAACUAUCUACGCUUGUGGUUUUCCACCAGGUAACCUUCAGCAGUGGAGGUUCGCUGGAGCUCACAGAUGUGUCUCUCCUCAGUGAGGACAGCUCUUUGAAUGUUUGAUCUCAAAUCAGGUAGGACUACCCGCUGAACUUAAGCAUAUCAAUAAGCGGAGGA